UAGCUUAGUCAGUAAAGAAUCUGCCUGCAAUGCAGGAGACCUGGGUUCAAUUCCUGG
Ovis aries (sheep) is the source of this 57-nucleotide transfer RNA. It matches the Rfam family "tRNA", at positions 8 to 63 of the family's 71-position model. Rfam says of the family: Transfer RNA (tRNA) molecules are approximately 80 nucleotides in length. The record is from Rfam. Lineage: Eukaryota; Metazoa; Chordata; Mammalia; Artiodactyla; Bovidae.